This 1519-nucleotide ribosomal RNA is filed under the name uncultured Acidobacterium sp. RNAcentral describes it as "bacterial SSU rRNA". It matches the Rfam family "Bacterial small subunit ribosomal RNA". Lineage: Bacteria; Pseudomonadati; Acidobacteriota; Terriglobia; Terriglobales; Acidobacteriaceae. The record is from RNAcentral.
UUGAAGAGUUUGAUCAUGGCUCGGAAUCAACGCUGGCGGCGUGCCUAACACAUGCAAGUCGAACGCGAAAGGGGCUUCGGCUCUGAGUAGAGUGGCGCACGGGUGAGUAACACGUAGGUAAUCUACCUUUGGAUGGGGAAUAACAACCGGAAACGGUUGCUAAUACCGCAUAAUGCAGCGGCACCUAAUGGUGACAGUUGUUAAAGCGGGGGAUCGAAAGACCUCGCGUCUGAAGAGGAGCCUGCGGCGGAUUAGCUAGUUGGUAAGGUAACGGCUUACCAAGGCGACGAUCCGUAGCCGGCCUGAGAGGGCGGUCGGCCACACUGACACUGACAUACGGGUCAGACUCCUACGGGAGGCAGCAGUCGGGAAUUUUGGGCAAUGGGCGAAAGCCUGACCCAGUAACGCCGCGUGAAGGAUGAAAUCCCUCGGGAUGUAAACUUCGCAAGAACGGGAAGAAUAAGUAGGGGACAAUACCCCCUAUGAUGACGGUACCGUUUGUAAGCUCCGGCUAACUCCGUGCCAGCAGCCGCGGUAAUACGGGGGGAGCAAGCGUUGUUCGGAUUUACUGGGCGUAAAGGGCGCGUAGGCGGCCUGUGCAAGUCAGUUGUGAAAUCUCCGAGCUUAACUCGGAAAGGUCAACUGAUACUGCUCGGCUAGAGUGCGGAAGGGGCAACUGGAAUUCUUGGUGUAGCGGUGAAAUGCGUAGAUAUCAAGAGGAACACSUGCGGCGAAGGCGGGUUGCUGGGCCGACACUGACGCUGAGGCGCGAAAGCUAGGGGAGCGAACGGGAUUAGAUACCCCGGUAGUCCUAGCCUUAAACGAUGAAUGCUUGGUGUCUGGGGUUAUAUAGUCCCCGGGUGCCGUCGCUAACGCUUUAAGCAUUCCGCCUGGGGAGUACGGUCGCAAGACUGAAACUCAAAGGAAUUGACGGGGACCCGCACAAGCGGUGGAGCAUGUGGUUUAAUUCGACGCAACGCGAAGAACCUUACCUGGGCUUGACAUGCACAGGACAGGCGUGGAAACACGCUCUCCCUUCGGGGUCUGUGCACAGGUGCUGCAUGGCUGUCGUCAGCUCGUGUCGUGAGAUGUUGGGUUAAGUCCCGCAACGAGCGCAACCCUUGCCCUUAGUUGCCAUCAUUCAGUUGGGAACUCUAAGGGGACUGCCGGUGAUAAGCCGGAGGAAGGUGGGGAUGACGUCAAGUCCUCAUGGCCCUUACGCCCCGGGCUACACACGUACUACAAUGGCCGGUACAGAGGGUUGCAAUGUCGCGAGAUGGAGCUAAUCCCAAAAAGCCGGCCUCAGUUGGGAUCGUAGUCCGCAACUCGACUACGUGAACGCGGAAUCGCUAGUAAUCGCGGAUCAGCACGCCGCGGUGAAUACGUUCCCGGGCCUUGUACACACCGCCCGUCAAGUCAGCCGAAUUGAGUGCACCCGAAGUCGCUGCACCAACCCGCAAGGGAGGGAGGCGCCCAAGGUGUGCUUGGUGAGGGGGACUAAGUCGUAACAAGGUAACCA